Long non-coding RNA from Hylaeus volcanicus, 1044 nucleotides. RefSeq lists it as uncharacterized. The transcript is spliced from 4 exons. NCBI's taxonomy places the organism in Eukaryota, Metazoa, Arthropoda, Insecta, Hymenoptera, Colletidae. The record is from RefSeq and is a predicted model, not a curated record.
CCCACGAUAUUUUGAGCCAUUUAUCCGGUAUACGAGCAUCGUACAUUGCGUCCAACGAUUUACGUAAGCCUUGGCUCAUCACGAUGGUACCUUCGAUAGCAAGCUUCAAAUCCGUCAAGGUGCAAGGCUCCCAUACGUUGAAGAGCUUCUUUCACCUCGAAAGAGUUGUACUGUUUUGGUAAUUUCGCUAACAUGUCGCUAGCCAAUUUGUACACAACGUUUUCUCGGGUUUCGCCACCUUGGGCACCGCCCUCUUUGGGUUGGACACUUAGAAUCGUGUCGAGUAUCCCUUUCGCUGUGUUUAUCUGCCAAGAGGUCCGAACUUCCUACGUUCUUGGACCACGGUAUGAAGAAAUGCAACAGCGUACAACAGAGGAGGCCAUUGUGAUUGUGUGCUAUAAUCCAACAAGUCUUGGGUCACGCUUUGUGUUAAUAAAUGAAGAAAGGAACCUGCAGUAAACCAAUAGGAAACUGGGUGUGCACUUCGGUGGUCAUCCAAAGUCUGAACGCCUCGUGGACAGUUUCCGUUUCAACGAGGGCGUCCAUCACUUCCGUGCAGAAAGGAAGCGAUAAAUGGAUAUUUUGCAGCAACACCCAACCGCCAGCAUUCAUAGCAUCUGAUAUCAACCUUCGAGCGUGGAACUCUUGACCUUGACCCAUGGACACUGAUCUCAACUCUGGAACAUACAUUACUCUGGAAACAUUUGUUUCACUCCAUUUGCUAUGGAAGAUGACACACAUUAAGGGUUGAUACAAAACUGUGUUACAAAACUGAUUCUCCAUGAACUUUAAUUUUUCCAAUCAAAGUAGAACAUACUUCAAAUAUAGUAAAAUAAUAUAAACUUCCUGAGGGUAUAACGAAACUAUUAUCAAUGUCGAUUUCCCCUUGUUCGGAAUUAUUUUAAUAAUAAGGAAUACUUUCCAGAGAAAUUAUUGCAAUUGGUUCAUUUGUGCUUCUUACUAUAGAUAUGUAGGAUUAUUCAUUAGAAUAGCUAAAGAUUACACUUAUCCCACCGAAAUAAUGGAUGCCAACUGUUUCAGGUU